Molecule: ribosomal RNA, 253 nt
Filed under: uncultured bacterium
Lineage: Bacteria
Description: partial 16S ribosomal RNA
Rfam family: Bacterial small subunit ribosomal RNA
Source: RNAcentral
UACGUAGGCAGCAAGCGUUGUUCGGAGUUACUGGGCGUAAAGGGUGUGUAGGCGGUUGUUUAAGUUUGGUGUGAAAUCUCCCGGCUCAACCGGGAGGGUGCGCCGAAUACUGAGUGACUAGAGUGCGGGAGAGGAAAGUGGGAUUCCUGGUGUAGCGGUGAAAUGCGUAGAUAUCAGGAGGAACACCGGUGGUGUAGACGGCUUUCUGGACCGUAACUGACGCUGAGACACGAAAGCGUGGGUAGCAAACAGG